GCUGGAGGUAUCAGAAGUGCGAAUGCUGACAUAAGUAACGAUAAAGCGGGUGAAAAGCCCGCUCGCCGGAAGACCAAGGGUUCCUGUCCAACGUUAAUCGGGGCAGGGUGAGUCGACCCCUAAGGCGAGGCCGAAAGGCGUAGUCGAUGGGAAACGGGUUAAUAUUCCCGUACUUGGUGUUACUGCGAAGGGGGGACGGAGAAGGCUAUGUUGGCCGGGCGACGGUUGUCCCGGUUUAAGCGUGUAGGCUGGUUUUCCAGGCAAAUCCGGAAAAUCAAGGCUGAGGCGUGACGACGAGGCACUACGGUGCUGAAGCAACAAAUGCCCUGCUUCCAGGAAAAGCCUCUAAGCAUCAGGUAACAUCAAAUCGUACCCCAAACCGACACAGGUGGUCAGGUAGAGAAUACCAAGGCGCUUGAGAGAACUCGGGUGAAGGAACUAGGCAAAAUGGUGCCGUAACUUCGGGAGAAGGCACGCUGACACGUAGGUGAAGUGAUUUACUCAUGGAGCUGAAGUCAGUCGAAGAUACCAGCUGGCUGCAACUGUUUAUUAAAAACACAGCACUGUGCAAACACGAAAGUGGACGUAUACGGUGUGACGCCUGCCCGGUGCCGGAAGGUUAAUUGAUGGGGUCAGCGCAAGCGAAGCUCCUGAUCGAAGCCCCGGUAAACGGCGGCCGUAACUAUAACGGUCCUAAGGUAGCGAAAUUCCUUGUCGGGUAAGUUCCGACCUGCACGAAUGGCGUAAUGAUGGCCAGGCUGUCUCCACCCGAGACUCAGUGAAAUUGAACUCGCUGUGAAGAUGCAGUGUACCCGCGGCAAGACGGAAAGACCCCGUGAACCUUUACUAUAGCUUGACACUGAACAUUGAGCCUUGAUGUGUAGGAUAGGUGGGAGGCUUUGAAGCGUGGACGCCAGUCUGCGUGGAGCCGACCUUGAAAUACCACCCUUUAAUGUUUGAUGUUCUAACGUGGACCCGUAAUCCGGGUUGCGGACAGUGUCUGGUGGGUAGUUUGACUGGGGCGGUCUCCUCCUAAAGAGUAACGGAGGAGCACGAAGGUUGGCUAAUCCUGGUCGGACAUCAGGAGGUUAGUGCAAUGGCAUAAGCCAGCUUGACUGCGAGCGUGACGGCGCGAGCAGGUGCGAAAGCAGGUCAUAGUGAUCCGGUGGUUCUGAAUGGAAGGGCCAUCGCUCAACGGAUAAAAGGUACUCCGGGGAUAACAGGCUGAUACCGCCCAAGAGUUCAUAUCGACGGCGGUGUUUGGCACCUCGAUGUCGGCUCAUCACAUCCUGGGGCUGAAGUAGGUCCCAAGGGUAUGGCUGUUCGCCAUUUAAAGUGGUACGCGAGCUGGGUUUAGAACGUCGUGAGACAGUUCGGUCCCUAUCUGCCGUGGGCGCUGGAGAACUGAGGGGGGCUGCUCCUAGUACGAGAGGACCGGAGUGGACGCAUCACUGGUGUUCGGGUUGUCAUGCCAAUGGCACUGCCCGGUAGCUAAAUGCGGAAGAGAUAAGUGCUGAAAGCAUCUAAGCACGAAACUUGCCCCGAGAUGAGUUCUCCCUGAGACUUAGAGUCUCCUGAAGGAACGUUGAAGACGACGACGUUGAUAGGCCGGGUGUGUAAGCGCAGCGAUGCGUUGAGCUAACCGGUACUAAUGAACCGUGAGGCUUAACCUUACAACGCCGAAG
RNAcentral lists this ribosomal RNA (1685 nucleotides) under Salmonella enterica subsp. enterica serovar Bareilly str. CFSAN000229. RNAcentral describes it as "bacterial LSU rRNA". It matches the Rfam family "Bacterial large subunit ribosomal RNA", at positions 1272 to 2925 of the family's 2925-position model. Lineage: Bacteria; Pseudomonadati; Pseudomonadota; Gammaproteobacteria; Enterobacterales; Enterobacteriaceae. The record is from RNAcentral.